AUACGGAGGAUGCGAGCGUUAUCCGGAUUUAUUGGGUUUAAAGGGUGCGUAGGCGGACGAUUAAGUCAGCUGUGAAAUGCCCGCGCUUAACGCGGGAAGUGCAGUUGAUACUGGUUGUCUGGAGUGCCGUUGCCGUGGGGGGAAUGUGUAGUGUAGCGGUGAAAUGCAUAGAGAUCACACAGAACACCGAUUGCGAAGGCAUCUCACGAAGGGGCUAUUGACGCUGAGGCACGAAAGCGUGGGGAUCAAACAGGAUUAGAUACCCUGGUAGUCCACGCAGUAAACGAUGAUGACUAACCGUCGGUCAAGACUGAUCGGUGGCCAAGCGAAAGCGAUAAGUCAUCCACCUGGGGAGUACGACCGCAAGGUUGAAACUUAAAGGAAUUGGCGGGG
This 393-nucleotide ribosomal RNA is filed under the name uncultured bacterium. RNAcentral describes it as "partial 16S ribosomal RNA". It matches the Rfam family "Bacterial small subunit ribosomal RNA", at positions 523 to 918 of the family's 1533-position model. The record is from RNAcentral.